Molecule: ribosomal RNA, 486 nt
Filed under: uncultured bacterium
Lineage: Bacteria
Description: partial 16S ribosomal RNA
Rfam family: Bacterial small subunit ribosomal RNA
Source: RNAcentral
GAUGAACGCUGGCGGCGUGCCUAAUACAUGCAAGUCGAACGCUGGAAAUCUAGCUUGCUAGAUUGAAGGAGUGGCGAACGGGUGAGUAAUACAUAAGCAACCUACCCACGAAGACUGGGAUAAUCUCUGGAAACGGGGACUAAUACCGGAUAGGUAAUCGGAAGGCAUCUUCUGAUUAUUAAAGGUUAAAAACACUGGUGGAUGGGCUUAUGGCGCAUUAGUUAGUUGGUGAGGUAACGGCCCACCAAGACGAUGAUGCGUAGCCGGCCUGAGAGGGUGAACGGCCACAUUGGGACUGAGACACGGCCCAGACUCCUACGGGAGGCAGCAGUAGGGAAUUUUCGGCAAUGGGGGAAACCCUGACCGAGCAACGCCGCGUGAGUGAUGACGGCAUUCGGGUUGUAAAGCUCUGUUGUAAGGGAAGAACGGUAGAUAGAGAAUAUCUAAAUGACGGUACCUUACCAGAAAGCCACGGCUAACUACGUG